AAGAUUUAGGCAUCCUCUUACACUGCUGGGAAAUAUCAGUGUGACUUGUCGAUCCAUAGUGGGACAUCCAAAGAAGAGGUUCUGCAGAUGGUGAGGCCAAGGGUCCAGAAAAUAACAUCAGUGAGGGACAGACUCCGGGAUUCUGGUCCGUCAGGCCCGUUUCGCUUGGGGGACCCUUGCGCACGAGGGUGAGGCGAGAACUACCAACCUCCACCCACAUUCACUAGCGUGAUAGAUUAUCAGGCAGUUCCACCUUAAGAGUCCCGGAGCGCCCGGCUGCGGAGAUCCCUGGCACCUGCAGGGGGCGCUGGUGCCUCGCGGUUCCUCCCGCGCCAGGGCACAGCAGGCUCUGCAGCUUCCAGGCCUUAGUCCCCGGAGGGGGUGGGGACCCUAGGGAAGGAAGGGCGCGGGUGCGGCCGCUAGGUAAGGAACCCGAGCCCUCCAGGAUUGAAAAACAGCCUCAACGAGGCGCUAGCACCAUGGAGCUUUCCGUCAUUCGGGCCAGAGAGGAAGUGCAAGCAGGCGCCCUUCCCUGCCCCCACCGCCUGCCUUCCUGCGUCCCUCCACCUCCGCUCUCCGACCCCGGCCGUGCUUCCCAGACCCUUUGUUCUCCAGGUUGGGAGCAGCUGGAUGGGUUCCCCGGGGAGGAGGUGUCCCCGCUGCACGUGGAGGGGAAAGGAUUGUCCCCAGGCUUCCGACCCUCAGUUCUCGCCUUUAGAGUCCCCUGAGCCCCACCGCCCUCUACUUGGGCAGCUCCGUGCGGGCUUUCCCGCCUCUCUUUCCACGUCGCGGCCUCCCGGGUCUCCAGGAAGAGGAAGGGUAAAGACUGACGCCAGGGGCUAGAGAGACCACGUCUACUUCCAGGCGCUGAGAAACUCCUGGGACUCGUUUGGGCCUGAACCCACACGCCCGCCGCAGGUCGCAGAGGACAUCCUCGGACCUUGGGCGCAUGGUCCCGGCACAGCCUCUCUUCGUGAGGACCCCAGAGCCCUAGAAGGGAGAAUGGGACAUUGUAUGUCGCGCCCAGGAGUCUGAUUGCAAACGAACGCCCUCUCCACCCCACCCUAGGCGGCACCACCCGCGUCGCCCCUCUGCUGCGCGUGACCCCAAGGGCUUGGGCGAUUGUGUCUCCCUGAGUACAGUUACAAUUGUGUUCGGCUUAAUUUCUUACUUGUUUGAAGGCGUCGCGGAGUAAAGCGAGGGGAGCAGGAUGUGGGGUGGGGGAGGGGAGCUAGAGCGCGAAACUGCGGGGGAGGGGAGGGCAAUUGCACAGUGAAGGGUCCCGUGUCCGAGGUGACCAGGCAGCACUGCUUAUCCAGGCCCAGAAUCUGGGCCCAGGAGCCGUAGCCCGGCGGAGCUCUCCCCAGCCUCCGCCCUGUGCACCAAUCUCCGCAGACUGCAGUCCUCAUUCCUCGCACUCCAGCACGUUUGCUCUCGGCCGGGUUGGGGGAGGGUUCCGUACCAGCAGGGUGUCACCAAGUAGGUGCAGCGGCUGGAGUAGCUGCUCGGCCUGUGGAUGUAGGCUCCAGGCUUACGGGAGCCCCCCUCCCGCCUCUUGGCUUGACCCAGGUCCUCACUGGCUGGUCUAAAGGCGCGCUAGCUCUUCUCUCCGCAGCGGGUUCCGGGGGACACACCCCGUCCCCACCCCUGAGAGCUGGCGGCCAGCUCGGUAUGCCAGGCGGCCAGACGGGCGCCCUGCCAAAUUCCGCGUUCCUCUCCAGGAGACGGGGAAUUGCGUCCCAGGCUCGGGAAAGCCGGUAGUUCGGGCUUGGGACUGGCUUGCAAAGCCUCCCCCCCGCACCCCCAAGGCGCCAGGGACGCCUCUGCAGGUUGGAUUCCUGCUCCGUAUCACUUCAAUUUUAAUUAAUCUUUUAAAACACCGCUGUCACGUCGCUUGCAGAAAAUUAAUCAAACUUGAAUCCUUGUUGCAUAGCAAGAAUUUCGAUCCAAGUCUUUUAAAAAGGACUUGACUUUGCAAAGUCACGUCUUUUACAGUUCCUUCAUUCCCCCUUUAGCAAGGGAAAUACUGCAAAAGUCAGGACAUGUUUGCUUCUUUCUGCCUUUAAAAUGAAACUCUGCUUAUUUCUGAUCUUUAUUUUCCUGUCUUUGAACAAAAAAAAAAAAGUUAAGCGAUAAAUUGCCUACCCCUGUUAAUUCAAAAUAUAAUUAGUUUGAAUGAUCUUUGUUUAAGAGCCCAGAUAAACUAAGAUAAUCUUAAUUUUAGUGUGACACGACCCCUAUUUUUCCUUGUGAAUAAUGAGAAUAAAGAAGUCAUUAAUUAAUACCAAGGUAUCUUCAUAAAAGAUGGUAUCUAGUGGUGCUGGGACACUGAAACACUGGUUGUAUUAGUAAUUGAUACUGUAUAAUUGAACAUGAAGAUAGUCAUCUGUUUUUAACCUCAAAGCUCGGAGUUUAUUUCGUGAUUACUGAGCUUCUAAUAAUUAAUUUUAGUCCCUUCUUGAUGCAAAAAUAAUUCUUAAGAGUCCCAGUUUCCCAUGCAACAGAGGCUGCUUGUUAAAGCCCACCCCUCAGAAUGGCUGCGAAGCUAUGCCAUGCAGCAACUCUUCCUGUUCCAUUAUUAGAGGUGAAUUUGCACCUCUGCCUUCAUGUCUAAUCACAUUUCCCUUUGCUGUGACUUGCUAAAAUACAAGAACAUACGUAUCUUUGUAUUGCUGCUUUGUCUCCUUGCUGUAGUCAAUUGACGCAGCUUAAUACAUGAUUCCUAAGACUUUCGAUAUUUUACGUUUCUAAGAUUUGAAGACGAAUUCCAUUAAAGAAUCAAAAUUUUUGUAGAGUGGUUGCCACACACCAGACUCUGAUCAAACCCACAACCUGCAUUAGCUUACACCUUUCUGUUAUUAAAACUGCAAAACACAUUCCCCCUUUCUAACAUGAACUGAAAAACAGCUACUGCAGUUUUCUGGACUAAAUUUAGUGUUAGUACAACUUUUGGCCUUAAUAUAAAAUCCUCUCCACAGUAAUAAGGUCUUCCAAAUAACAAUGGAUAUUUAGACUCUAACUGUAAAGUGUCUAGUUAUUUCUCACCAUGAAUUUGCUAAUGGCCCUGCCUUUUGACCAAUCUAAAAGGCCAUAUGAUGUUUUUCUCAUAUGUACAAAGUUAGGAAAACCUUGUGAUAUCUCUCUCCAAACACGUGUCACCCCAAGUAAGUAUGAAGUAUUUUAUACCACAUCAAUAUUCUUAGAAUCUACUCUGCUCCAUCCAUCUGAGCAUCCUGCUUAAUUAUCAGCACUAGUCCUGAAACUGUUGGAAAGUACUUCAGCUUCACUCUUUAAUUCUCCUUUACUACAAUUAAAACUUUCGGUCAGUC
RNAcentral lists this long non-coding RNA (3329 nucleotides) under Mus musculus (house mouse). RNAcentral's name for it is "predicted gene, 17762 (Gm17762)". The record is from RNAcentral. Lineage: Eukaryota; Metazoa; Chordata; Mammalia; Rodentia; Muridae.